UUAUGACUUCAUCCAUACUUACUGUUUUUGGACGUAUUGUGGAUUGGUCACCUUCACCGUGACCCCCCGUCUCGGAACAUUGGCGUAAAGGUUUUCAUCAUCAUCAUCAUCAUUGCCAGGGGGGGCUAGUGCUGCUUUUCGUGGGGCUGGCCGUGGUGCUCGGGGAUUGCGGCGAGUGAGACCCAGGCCUGUACGAGUGCGCGGUCGGAACUUGGUUAUAGUCUGUGAACGAAAUAGAUGAUAGUUUGUUAUGCAAGAUUCUCGCUACCUUAAACAUCAAACGCUGUAUAAAUCUAGACUAGCAAAAAUGAAGUGUCAAGAACCGUUUCACGUGCACCUUCCCGCAUCUCAUCCGCACGUGUACAAAUCUCACAACUUGCCAUCAAGAUGUGUUCGCACGGCUUGUUCCCAGUUAUUGCCAAGUCUGGAACAAGUUGUUAUCAUAUUGUAACAAGGUUGAUGAGGCCUACAGACUUCUGUAGUCAAC
Paramuricea clavata is the source of this 487-nucleotide non-coding RNA. NCBI's taxonomy places the organism in Eukaryota, Metazoa, Cnidaria, Anthozoa, Malacalcyonacea, Plexauridae. The record is from the annotation of a GenBank genome assembly.